RNAcentral lists this ribosomal RNA (449 nucleotides) under uncultured organism. RNAcentral describes it as "partial 16S ribosomal RNA". It matches the Rfam family "Bacterial small subunit ribosomal RNA", at positions 331 to 797 of the family's 1533-position model. The record is from RNAcentral.
GUACACUCCUACGGGAGGCAGCAAUGGGGAAUAUUGGACAAUGGGCGCAAGCCUGAUCCAGCCAUGCCGCGUGAGUGAUGAAGGCCCUAGGGUUGUAAAGCUCUUUCACCGGUGAAGAUAAUGACGGUAACCGGAGAAGAAGCCCCGGCUAACUUCGUGCCAGCAGCCGCGGUAAUACGAAGGGGGCUAGCGUUGUUCGGAUUUACUGGGCGUAAAGCGCACGUAGGCGGACUAUUAAGUCAGGGGUGAAAUCCCGGAGCUCAACCCCGGAACUGCCUUUGAUACUGGUAGUCUUGAGUUCGAGAGAGGUGAGUGGAAUUCCGAGUGUAGAGGUGAAAUUCGUAGAUAUUCGGAGGAACACCAGUGGCGAAGGCGGCUCACUGGCUCGAUACUGACGCUGAGGUGCGAAAGCGUGGGGAGCAAACAGGAUUAGAUACCCCAGUAGUCCC